CUGGCAUGUGGCAGAGCACUCUCUGCCUGGGAGGCUUGUCUGCUGUACUACUCUCAUCGCAUUUUCGUCCUUCAAUAACUGUGAUACCAGGGAAGGGAGGACACAACAUUUUUCUUGGGUCAAAGCUGGCAGUUACCUGAAGGAAGAAGCUGUGAAGCCUGCCCUCAGGACACAGGUGGGGGCCAUGGGCCCAGAGCCCAGGCAGGAGAGGGAACAGAGAUGGUGCAGCUGUGGAAGCAAGCUCAUCUAUAGAGUGAGCAACCCUUAUCACAAUGAUGGUAAAUGAUGUUCACCUGCCAGAAAGCAUAUGGCUGUGGGAGUCAGUGAUCUUAGGGACCCCACGUUCAAGGAGAGUGGCUGAAGACCUUGUGUUCUUGAGGCUGGGGGGACUGCAUCUGCACCUCUCUUACUUAGGGGAUGCAAGAGGUUGUUUUCAUUUUGCUCACACCAUGGUUUGAGGAAUUGUGCAUAUCUUCUAGGAGGUGGCUGCAGUCUGGAGGGGGAGUGAGAGAGCAGUGUUGUGGAGUUUAUCUGUUCAUCAAUAUGAAACCACCACAUCCUCACACACCAGAAUCCUCCACAGGUGGGAGAAGAUGGCUUUUGUUUCACCUCCUGCUGCUCCCAGUUAGCCACACUGUGAGCAAGAUGGGAUGAAGGAGGAGUCCCCUUGAGAUGUGAGAUCUGGCUUUUUGUCAGCUGGAGUUUCAAAGGCACAGGCUGAUCCCAAGCUCAACCACCUUUGCCUUGAUACAGCUCACGAUACCCCUCUACAAGCUUGUCACUCAUAGCUGCUAUGUCUGAUCCCACCGGGCAUUCAUCAUUGAAACAGCUUCCUGGAACAUGCAAGUACUAAAAAGCCCAAUUUUCUCAGCACAAGCACUUUUCAAAGGAAGAAUUUUUCUGAGGGCAUUUGAUGCAAACUUUGUUAUAAAACUCACACAACCAUUCAGCCUGCACCAACGUUAAGAUCAUACUGAGGGCUACAUGGUUUUAAACAUGAGGUUAAAAAAAAAAAAAGCAUAAAAUGUAAGGCUGUGAGCCUUAGCUGUGCUUUCUUGUUCAUAUACAUUCAUAACACAAGCUGUGUUAUUCAGAAAAAGAGAGGGACCAUGGGUGGUAUUGGAUAUUCUACCCUUAGCAAAAUCAAGUCACUUAUAGAUUCCGAUUUGGUACCUAGGAACAGAAUUGCAAGUAGCCUUUCUAGUUACCAGAAAAUAAAUAAAUAAGUAUAAUAAUAUAUAUAUAUAUA
This 1249-nucleotide long non-coding RNA is filed under the name Anser brachyrhynchus (Pink-footed goose). RNAcentral's name for it is "lncRNA (ENSABRG00000008257.1)". The record is from RNAcentral. Lineage: Eukaryota; Metazoa; Chordata; Aves; Anseriformes; Anatidae.